GAGUUUGAUCCUGGCUCAGAUUGAACGCUGGCGGCAUGCCUUACACAUGCAAGUCGAACGGCAGCACGGGAGCCUUGCUCCGUGGUGGCGAGUGGCGAACGGGUGAGUAAUGCAUCGGAACGUAUCCUGGAGUGGGGGAUAACGUAGCGAAAGUUACGCUAAUACCGCAUAUUCUGUGAGCAGGAAAGCGGGGGACCUUCGGGCCUCGCGCUCUUGGAGCGGCCGAUGUCGGAUUAGCUAGUUGGUGAGGUAAAGGCUCACCAAGGCGACGAUCCGUAGCAGGUCUGAGAGGAUGAUCUGCCACACUGGAACUGAGACACGGUCCAGACUCCUACGGGAGGCAGCAGUGGGAAUUUUGGACAAUGGGGGCAACCCUGAUCCAGCCAUGCCGCGUGAGUGAAGAAGGCCUUACGG
Molecule: ribosomal RNA, 414 nt
Filed under: bacterium enrichment culture clone ALO1_GLFRUDD03GOD6L
Lineage: Bacteria
Description: bacterial SSU rRNA
Rfam family: Bacterial small subunit ribosomal RNA
Source: RNAcentral